GUACGAAAGCGUGGGGAGCGAACAGGAUUAGAUACCCUGGUAGUCCACGCCCUAAACGAUGUCAACUAGUUGUUGGUGGAGUAAAAUCCAUGAGUAACGUAGCUAACGCGUGAAGUUGACCGCCUGGGGAGUACGGACGCAAGUUUAAAACUCAAAUGAAUUGACGGGGGCCCGCACAAGCGGUGGAGCAUGUGGUUUAAUUCGACGCAACGCGAAGAACCUUACCUGGUCUUGACAUCCUGCGAACUUUCUAGAGAUAGAUUGGUGCCUUCGGGAACGCAGUGACAGGUGCUGCAUGGCU
Molecule: ribosomal RNA, 301 nt
Filed under: uncultured Gammaproteobacteria bacterium
Lineage: Bacteria; Pseudomonadati; Pseudomonadota; Gammaproteobacteria
Description: bacterial SSU rRNA
Rfam family: Bacterial small subunit ribosomal RNA
Source: RNAcentral